This 385-nucleotide ribosomal RNA is filed under the name Micrococcus luteus. RNAcentral's name for it is "bacterial SSU rRNA". It matches the Rfam family "Bacterial small subunit ribosomal RNA", at positions 1165 to 1533 of the family's 1533-position model. Lineage: Bacteria; Bacillati; Actinomycetota; Actinomycetes; Micrococcales; Micrococcaceae. The record is from RNAcentral.
GGAGGAAGGUGGGGAUGACGUCAAAUCAUCAUGCCCCUUAUGACCUGGGCUACACACGUGCUACAAUGGAUGGUACAAAGGGCUGCAAGACCGCGAGGUYWAGCCAAUCCCAUAAAACCAUUCUCAGUUCGGAUUGUAGGCUGCAACUCGCCUACAUGAAGCUGGAAUCGCUAGUAAUCGCGGAUCAGCAUGCCGCGGUGAAUACGUUCCCGGGCCUUGUACACACCGCCCCGUCACACCACGAGAGUUUGUAACACCCGAAGUCGGUGAGGUAACCUUUUUGGAGCCAGCCGCCUAAGGUGGGACAGAUGAUUGGGGUGAAGUCGUAACAAGGUAGCCGUAUCGGAAGGUGCGGCUGGAUCACCUCCUUUCUAAGGAAUAUUAC